This 409-nucleotide long non-coding RNA is filed under the name Heterocephalus glaber (naked mole-rat). RNAcentral's name for it is "lncRNA (ENSHGLG00000049690.1)". The record is from RNAcentral. Lineage: Eukaryota; Metazoa; Chordata; Mammalia; Rodentia; Bathyergidae.
GCUAGAUUAGAACCUCUGCUUCUGCCUUCAGAGUGGUCCUGGGUGUUACUUGAUCAGCAUCAAACUUCUCCUCUGGACUUGUAAUGAUAGUAACUGGCAUUCAUUGAUUGCUAAUCAGUUUCUUACAGGUGCAGGGAUGCAUUUGAGCCAGAACUCUGAGUGAUCCCUGUGCUUCUGUAGCUGGUCCCUCUGUCUGCGAGCUGGGUCAUGCCGAAUGCCAGCCAUGGUCUCACACAUCUGUCUCCUCACUAGACAGCAAGUGCUGCUACAAGCAGGAAGGCCAUUACUGGAGAUCCCUGACUCCUGCCCAGCAUAUGAUGGAGGCCUGAGAAAAAAAUACACUAAGAGACAGAACUAAGAGAGAGACAGCAAGGUGCCAGGACAACCAAUGCCAGUGGAACCAUCAAAG